UGCUAAGUUCAGUCCCAGUGGUUAUCACGUAUCCUUAACAAGGUGUUUCACCCAAUCCCGGAUAAGGUCUUGAGUUCGAUCCUCAACUUGGUCA
Molecule: transfer RNA, 94 nt
Filed under: Lasallia pustulata
Lineage: Eukaryota; Fungi; Ascomycota; Lecanoromycetes; Umbilicariales; Umbilicariaceae
Description: Umbilicaria pustulata tRNA-Val
Source: RNAcentral